Long non-coding RNA from Paramacrobiotus metropolitanus, 869 nucleotides. RefSeq lists it as uncharacterized. Lineage: Eukaryota; Metazoa; Tardigrada; Eutardigrada; Parachela; Macrobiotidae. The record is from RefSeq and is a predicted model, not a curated record. The transcript has 3 exons.
CAUAGCUGAUUUUGAGAAAUUACAGCAUUGUACAGUAAUUACGGACUCGGGACACACAAAGCUGGUUGACUCUGUACGGAGGCCACCGGCUCACGAUUAUUAGGUUGCUGAUGUGCGCAUAAAACAUUGUGAAUAUGGAUUCUCAUGUUUUCUUUGCCAAACCGGCCAUUCCUGUUGCGAUUGUCAGGGUCUGCGGCAUUGUCACUGGGCAAUGUACGAUCUAAACUGCUACUUCCCCGUUUACAAUGGCCCCAGAAAGUGUGACAUCGAUUCCUUCGCCCACUAAACAGGCGAUUUCGUUUCCGUUGCUGGCUAGUCUUUUGGCACACCAGAUCUGAGAAAACGUUAGCCGGAACUCCCGGCUCAAGGAACAGAGAAUGAUCAAAAAGACGGCACCCUUCAAUAAAUGCAGCGCAUCCAUCACAUUGCCGAGCGGGAUAAAGACAUUGUUGAAGAAAUCCACGGAGAAACAUGUGGAGAGCGCCAAUAAUCCCGAUGGACCGUCGGUAAGGAUGCAGACCACGGCGAUGACCAGUACCACAGCCGUUGGAACAUCCCGCCUCGCUGCCUGGUAACCACCUCGGGGAGCCGCCGGCCGCUGCAGUGCGUUGAAGGGUGUGGCCGAUAUUAUUUCCAUCUCGGUGGCGUUACUGGCCGGGUGACUCAUCUCCUGGGCGGUUGACGGAGCCGUUUGGAGUGUCGGGGAAUAAUUUGAUGGAAACGCUUCGUCGGAGAAUGUUAACGGAGUUCCAUGGCGUUCGGGACGAAGCAGGGCGAUCACCAAUGGAACGCUAAUAUUAUUGGAUUUAUUACUACUUACGUACUUGUUGAAUCCGCAUACAACAUAAUUAUGGUGUUAUCUAUGUAGA